This 301-nucleotide ribosomal RNA is filed under the name uncultured bacterium. RNAcentral describes it as "partial 16S ribosomal RNA". It matches the Rfam family "Bacterial small subunit ribosomal RNA", at positions 509 to 807 of the family's 1533-position model. The record is from RNAcentral.
CAGUAGCCACGGUAAUACGGAGGGAGCUAGCGUUGUUCGGAAUUACUGGGCGUAAAGCGCGCGUAGGCGGUUACUCAAGUCAGAGGUGAAAGCCCGGGGCUCAACCCCGGAACUGCCUUUGAAACUAGGUGACUAGAACCUUGGAGAGGUCAGUGGAAUUCCGAGUGUAGAGGUGAAAUUCGUAGAUAUUCGGAAGAACACCAGUGGCGAAGGCGACUGACUGGACAAGUAUUGACGCUGAGGUGCGAAAGCGUGGGGAGCAAACAGGAUUAGAUACCCCCGUAGUCCCUGUCUCUUAUAC